RNAcentral lists this long non-coding RNA (556 nucleotides) under Homo sapiens (human). Its description in RNAcentral is "non-protein coding lnc-POLN-3:1". The record is from RNAcentral. Lineage: Eukaryota; Metazoa; Chordata; Mammalia; Primates; Hominidae.
AAGCGGAAACCCAAGAGCGCCACGCUGCGGGCGGAGCUGCUGCAGAAGUCCACGGAGACCGCCCAGCAGUUGAAGCGGAGCGCCGGGGUGCCCUUCCACGCCAAGGGCCGGGGGCUGCUGCGGAAGAUGGACACCACCAGUAAGGCCCCCACCCUGGUGCCGUGAGCCUUGCUUUUGGGGCAGAGCUAAGGGCUUCACCUGGAGACCCGCUCCCUGUUGGGGAGGUGGUGCCUGUGAAUGGUCUUCAGGCAGCAGUGUUGGGAGCCCGUGGGAAAGCGAAGGCACUGGGGCAAUUUCACCGGCUUCUCCCCUUGGGGAGCUCCCUGGGAGGAUGUGUGGGCACGGAGACAGGAGGGCCGGGAUCUGAGGACAGUGCUGGGCACGGAGACAGGAAGGCCGGGAUCUGAGGACACCGCUGGGCAUGGAGACAGGAAGGCCGGGAUCUGAGGACAGUGCUGGCCCCUGCUCCUCUGCUGUUGGCACCGGUGGCUCUCGGCCUUCCCAGCUCGGGCUUUCGGCCCCAAGUGCUGCUCUUGGGUUCCGAGUGUCCCUGGGC